CUCGUAGGUGGCUCUGUAAGUAGGUGGUGAAAGCCCACGGCUCAACCGUGGAUACGCCUCCUAAACUGUGGAGCUUGAGGCUGGGAGAGGGAAUCGGAAUUCCUGGUGUAGCGGUGAAAUGCGUAGAUAUCAGGAGGAACACCGGUGGCGAAGGCGGAUUCCUGGACCAGUUCUGACACUGAGGAGCGAAAGCCAGGGGAGCAAACA
RNAcentral lists this ribosomal RNA (207 nucleotides) under uncultured bacterium. RNAcentral describes it as "partial 16S ribosomal RNA". It matches the Rfam family "Bacterial small subunit ribosomal RNA", at positions 568 to 774 of the family's 1533-position model. The record is from RNAcentral.